UGCAAAGAAGGCCAAACAGACCGAAACUAAAAAGAAAUAUUAAUAUUCAUGACCUGAGCAGAAUCAAAACUCAAGGAACCAUUGGUUGAAAAGUAACAUGAAUAAUCGUCAUUCUACUCAUUCCCUUGAGCUUGAGCUUGAGCUUGAGCUUGAAAUAUAACCUGUCCAAAAACGUAGUAAACUGCCAUUGCCUGUUCAAUAGCAUACAUUCUCACUUGCAGGAGUUCAGAAAUUCAAAACUCCAUAGACUAAUUAAUAUAUGUAGUAGCAAACUGCCUAACCAUUAGAGGUGGUCAUUCUCACUUACUUGUAGUAUAAACCAAGGCGGCACGAUUCUACAAGUUCGAAACUCCAUAGACAAUCUAAACCACAAUUAUGCAUUGUAAAUAGUAGUAUCACAUAAGUAUUAAGCAUAAUUAAAAAUGGGAAAUAUAGAGUAGUAAUUAAAUUUACAAAGUACGUACCCUUCAAUUCAGCUCAACCGUAAAACUUCUUCAGCUAUAGAAAGUGAGGAUUGGAUUUCCUAAGCCUACUUUUUCCAGAUUUACUCCUAUAACCCCUAAACGGGGGCAAAAAGGCCCUUACCAUUACCAAUGUUGCUGAGAGACUUUUGUUUCUCUCUAGCACAAACUCUUUUGAGCGCUUCUUUGCACACUUCCCUGUC
Molecule: long non-coding RNA, 664 nt
Filed under: Panax ginseng (ginseng)
Lineage: Eukaryota; Viridiplantae; Streptophyta; Magnoliopsida; Apiales; Araliaceae
Description: long non-coding RNA (PGIN_LNC018181)
Source: RNAcentral